Zalophus californianus (California sea lion) is the source of this 753-nucleotide long non-coding RNA. RefSeq lists it as uncharacterized. NCBI's taxonomy places the organism in Eukaryota, Metazoa, Chordata, Mammalia, Carnivora, Otariidae. The record is from RefSeq and is a predicted model, not a curated record. The transcript is spliced from 4 exons.
GGCUGGAGGUAAGCUGGGGCGGGGGUAGAGGGCACAGGAGAAACACAGACACCAUUAAACUGGGCUUCUUUGCGAUGUUCUGGGUAGCGUCCUGCUCAAUAUAUCUGGUCAACAGAUUCAGUGGGAUGCGGCCAUGUAAUCUGGAUUGACAAUUACGUGCCUUUGGCAUAUGGGAUUUUUGCCUGAGCCGAUGAUGAUGAAGAUGUGUGCCAUGAGCCCGUACUGCCUCCAAAUCGAUGGCUGCCAAAACUAACAGCUGUGAAAUUAUUUGUGACUGUUAAGGAUAAACAUAUUUGUCCCUAUUCAUUAUAUGAUCAUUUACUUCGUAGGCAUGCUUUGUGUGGGGAAGAAAAAUACCCACGAAGGAAGCUUCUCAGAGGGCGACCAGGUGCACAGUUCAGCCAAGUAUGAGGCGGCUCUUCCGAGGGGUCCAGCUGCUUGAGAAACCGAGUAUGUGGGAACCAAACAGCCCUGCGUGGCGCUCCCAGUGUACCCCGUGAUGGCCGCCCACCCACCGGCUGUGCUCUGAGCAGACACACGGGGCUACGUGCGUGUGCACGUGUAAAAGUGUCUCUGUGUACGUACCGAAGUUUCCAUCAGUAGGACGAGAGAAAGAACAAAGAAGCAAAAAGGUGUGAGGGGUGGAGAGAGAAAUGGCAGCAUGCUGAUAGCGAAGCUGAAUGGUGGCCACACGGAGAUUCCUUAUACUCUUCUCUCUGCUUUUGUAUAUAUUUGAAAAUUCCAAACUAAAAA